Molecule: long non-coding RNA, 3353 nt
Organism: Lepisosteus oculatus (spotted gar)
Lineage: Eukaryota; Metazoa; Chordata; Actinopteri; Semionotiformes; Lepisosteidae
Source: RefSeq, a predicted model, not a curated record
GAUAGAUAAGUGCAAAGAAUACGGCAUAGCUGCUUUAACUGAUGGGAGUGUCCUGAUUGAGUGUGCAUAGUCUCAUAUCCAAUUCAGGUUACAGGGUAGACCAGAUGCUGUAGAUCAUGGGAACAACAGAGCCGGUCUUUUCUUUGACAGGUAAGGACAUGUGGUGCAUGUUUUCCCACAGGGAUGAAGUCUCCGACAGAGUAGUGACGACGCCAAGGUCAGACAACAAUGACAUGAACAGAUUUCAGCAUUGUCCAGGAACACAAGCAGGGUGUUUUCCCACAGUGGGGGCCGCAGAGAGAGGCACCUGCUCAGUAUACACUACAGUGCACUGAAGUGCAAACAGAGGUCUUGCUUCCAUAAGAGAUAUAUGAAGCGCACUGGAAAGGGGGAGAGUACAGAAGGACCACAGGAGCUGGAGACUCCUGCUUACUUUGUUAUACAACAAGUUGUGUCACUUUCAGCAGCCAGUAUCACUGGCAAUGAGGGAGAUUUUGUGAUUAGACAAAAAUGAACUUGACCUGAUCAAAAGUUGCUUCUCUGAAUUACAUAGUCUCAUAUCAGAGCUCAGUUGCCACCUUUUUUUGGUGCUUCAUUCCGUGCUGUUCCUGACCUUUAAAAAGGACUCGUUGUGACACCUUGUAACUCAGCCAGACGGUGUCUCUCGGGGGAAACAGAAGAAGCCUUGUUUGCACAAAUGAUUCAGUGGAUUUUGUUCCAGCUUCAAAGUGGCUGUCCUUGGCCUCAAAGUCCCGUGAACCUUUUGCAAAUGCAGAAGAUGGAUCUAGCAUCCUAUGCAAUCGUCAUCUAUCGGGGUGCCUAGGUUCAUAUAGAUUCACCCCUUCAGGCCAGACAAGCUAUUCAGACUGUGCUGCAGCGUAUUAAAGUCAUAGAUCCAGACACUAGAGACACCCAAGUGUCUUUUUACACUAUAUUAAGUCAUACAGCAUUCUAGGACCAAGAGUGGACUGAUUUCACUGCAAGUCAUCUACUGAAAGACCACAGAACAAUAAUUAGGACACAACCCUUGCAUUGUACCGUAACUUAGUGCCAAACAACCAAUCAGCUACUUUUUAGUAUUGCUUGGCUGGAUUUCAGCUGCUUUCCAAUUUACAUGAACAUGUCAUUCUUUGAGCAUGCACAUUUAAGCAUGACUUUCUUCAUGACCGAAGGACUCCCUACUAUCCCAACCUAACAGACUGGUAUCAGUGUCUCAUAGCUACUGGAAUCUAUCUUUCUGGGCUCCCAAAAUCCAGGAAGAUUUGUACUCAAUGGAUUUCAUCUAGAAGCAAGAAGACGAGUGUGAGACCUCCAGGAAGUGGAGGGCUAUUGUUUCACAUCCUUGAAGACAAAGCAUGCAACACAAGAACUCUUUGAAUAGAUGAUCCUGGCCAGCAUUUCAUUCCUAAAAUGAAUGUCAGAAGCGAAAACCUAGCCACAGCUAUCUCAGAAACUUUAUAAAGAGAAUACUAAAAUUAGACAACAUAGUGCUAUCAUCAAUUACAGAAAGUCCACGUUUCAGUAAUCUUGUUCCUGUCUCAGGUGUUCCAAUACUCUGCUGUCCAGAGGUGACCACUUUGAGCCUGUCUCUAUCCAGAAGUGUCCAACCAAAUAUGGGCAGGGAUUCCUGAAUCUCUUUGGGAAAGCUGAAAGCACGGUGUGCCAGGACCCCUGAAUAUAUGCUCUAGGCCAGCAAUUCAUUCCAAAGCCUCAUUCCACAGCUGCCUUAGGGAGCUCAAACUACACGAGGCCCAGGUGUUCCUGAUUGCUUCCAGAUGGCUGAGGGUACAUGAAGUGCCUGGAUGCUCAGCUAUGACAGCUAUCCCUUUGACUUUGACAUCAGAGCACUGCAAGUGAGCACCUGUGGGUUUGCUUCUUGAGUAGGUUGAACUGAUCUAAAUGUGGUCAACGCCAUUCUGUUCACCUGAGGUUGUCCCAGGUCUACCUAAUAUGAGAUUAUGUGUUAUAGAUAUGAUAAUAUUAAUAAUCAUAUAAGAUAAUAUAAGAUGUAGGAGUGUAGCUUGAGUUGUACCCCGUCCCUGUCAUGGUGAAGAUCAUGACGAUAUUUGUUUAAGAAGACGUAUACUACCAAUAAGGCUCAUCCAGAAACAAAUUCAUCUUUUCAUACUGUAGUGGACAGGUUUUCAGUAGGGCACAAUCUCUUCUAAUGUUCAGUAAGCCCUGGAGUUGUAGCUUCUGAGGGGAGCUCUGUUAUUAUGGUUUCUAAAUGUUCUAAAACAACUUUUUUUUCGCUGAAAGUGACACAAAUAGUAUGUGGCACGGGUUUCGUUUUUCAAAAUUAAUUGCGGAAAAAAUGGCAUGCGCUACAAAACAGGUUGCCGUCUCCUGGUCUAGAGAGUUUCUUAGUCGAGUUAGAGAUACAGUAAGUCCUGCUUGCUCCUAAAUACAUUCCCCCUUCUUUUUUAGCGAUGAAGAAGAGCUCAAGCUGAUCUAACCCCAUCCUAACAACACCUUGGUAGAUGCUGUCAUUUUUCUUGACCACUGUCACUAUCAUUUGCACUACUGUGUUAAUUGACUUAUUCUUGGAUUGAUCCUAGUACAACAGGAAAUCAAUCCUAUCAAAUCUUUUGGAACCUGUGCGACUCUUAAAUUAUUAAAAUGUUAACUGUGCGACAGUUUAAAUUCUGCACCUUGUGCCAGUUUUGGAAUUUUUUGGGGGGAGUUGUAAUACUGUAGGUAUUCUUCAAACUCAAAGAGAGCUGAAGGUUAUUUUUUCAAACACAACUCCCUUGAGCGGAACAAUCCAUUAGUGUGGCAGGUUUCUACCAUCAGUCAAGAGUCAGUACUUCAGGAGCGGCUUGGCUCCUCAGUGACCUUACUGCUUGGCCUGUCUUGUCUCAGGCAAGGAGGGGGGAAAGAGAUUGCAUCCCUGAGGCAGGAAAGUGAUAUUAGUGUUGGGUAGUAAAUAUCACUGUCAUUUUCUGGGAAACUCAUGGAACACCAGAUACAUUCUUUAAUCUCCUCUGAAAUGUUAUCAGAAUGGAUUUUGAUUUUAACAAGGGAUGGUACAGGAGUGUUGAUAUUUCAGAGUGAAAAUCACGUUGUUGAUAUGAGGUAGAACUGCUAUACGUUGUAUAAGCUAAAUGUUCAGCAUUUUCUUUCCAUCAGUAAUAGUACAGAUAACAUAAAACAUGUUCUGGGUAACUCUUUCUCGGGUAUUUUUGAAAUUCUAUGGAAUUCAUCACUGUCUCCGAAUCGAACCAACCUCAGGGAGAUACAGUAGAUUUAGGCUGCAGUCUUUCCUGAAGAAAUGCUAAUACUCUCUUUCAGUUUAAUUAGUCAGUUAAGGACAAAUCCGCAGCAUUCAUUCCAAACAUACUAUUAUCCUGCAC